RNAcentral lists this ribosomal RNA (256 nucleotides) under uncultured bacterium. RNAcentral describes it as "partial 16S ribosomal RNA". It matches the Rfam family "Bacterial small subunit ribosomal RNA", at positions 524 to 776 of the family's 1533-position model. The record is from RNAcentral.
UACGUAGGCAGCGAGCGUUGUUCGGAAUUACUGGGCGUAAAGAGUGUGUAGGCGGUGCUCUAAGUUCGGUGUGAAAUCUCCUGGCUCAACUGGGAGGGUGCGCCGGAAACUGGAGUGCUUGAGCGUGGGAGAGGAAAGCGGAAUUCCUGGUGUAGCGGUGAAAUGCGUAGAUAUCAGGAGGAACACCUGUGGUGUAGACGGCUUUUCUGGACCAUAGCUGACGCUGAGACACGAAAAGCGUGGGUAGCAAAACAGG